This 501-nucleotide ribosomal RNA is filed under the name uncultured bacterium. RNAcentral describes it as "partial 16S ribosomal RNA". It matches the Rfam family "Bacterial small subunit ribosomal RNA", at positions 29 to 523 of the family's 1533-position model. The record is from RNAcentral.
AUUGAACGCUGGCGGCAUGCCUUACACAUGCAAGUCGAACGGCAGCACGGGUGCCUGCACCUGGUGGCGAGUGGCGAACGGGUGAGUAAUACAUCGGAACGUACCUUAUCGUGGGGGAUAACGCAGCGAAAGCUGUGCUAAUACCGCAUACGCCCUGAGGGGGAAAGCGGGGGAUCGAAAGACCUCGCGCGAUUAGAGCGGCCGAUGCCUGAUUAGCUUGUUGGUGGGGUAAAAGCCCACCAAGGCGGCGAUCAGUAGCUGGUCUGAGAGGACGAUAAGCCACACUGGGACUGAGACACGGCCCAGACUCCUACGGGAGGCAGCAGUGGGGAAUUUUGGACAAUGGGGGCAACCCUGAUCCAGCAAUGCCGCGUGAGUGAAGAAGGCCUUCGGGUUGUAAAGCUCUUUUGUCAGGGAAGAAACACCGGCUCUAACACAGUCCGGGAAUGACGGUACCUGAAGAAUAAGCACCGGCUAACUACGUGCCAGCAGCCGCGGUAA